This 30-nucleotide non-coding RNA is filed under the name Homo sapiens (human). Lineage: Eukaryota; Metazoa; Chordata; Mammalia; Primates; Hominidae. The record is from RNAcentral.
UAUAGCCAAUAUUUCUUGCCACAUAAGGUC